CAGCAGCCGCCGCGGUAAUACAGAGGGUGCGAGCGUUAAUCGGAUUUACUGGGCGUAAAGCGUGCGUAGGCGGCUUCUUAAGUCGGAUGUGAAAUCCCUGAGCUUAACUUAGGAAUUGCAUUCGAUACUGGGAAGCUAGAGUAUGGGAGAGGAUGGUAGAAUUCCAGGUGUAGCGGUGAAAUGCGUAGAGAUCUGGAGGAAUACCGAUGGCGAAGGCAGCCAUCUGGCCUAAUACUGACGCUGAGGUACGAAAGCAUGGGGAGCAAACAGGAUUAGAUACCCCGGUAGUCCCUGUCUCUUAUAC
This 304-nucleotide ribosomal RNA is filed under the name uncultured bacterium. RNAcentral describes it as "partial 16S ribosomal RNA". It matches the Rfam family "Bacterial small subunit ribosomal RNA", at positions 506 to 807 of the family's 1533-position model. The record is from RNAcentral.